AAAAUUAAACUGAAGAGUUUGAUCAUGGCUCAGAUUGAACGUUGGCGGCACGCCUAAUACAUGCAAGUCGAACGAGAAAGCACUUC
RNAcentral lists this ribosomal RNA (86 nucleotides) under Gammaproteobacteria bacterium. Its description in RNAcentral is "partial 16S ribosomal RNA". It matches the Rfam family "Bacterial small subunit ribosomal RNA", at positions 1 to 80 of the family's 1533-position model. The record is from RNAcentral. Lineage: Bacteria; Pseudomonadati; Pseudomonadota; Gammaproteobacteria.